ACAGUACAAACUGAGCAGGCGAUGAACUUUAAAAAAGUUCGUGGGGCUGGGCCUAAAAGGCAACAGGAUGGUUAUAUACCUGUGGGACAGUU
RNAcentral lists this non-coding RNA (92 nucleotides) under Clostridium estertheticum. RNAcentral describes it as "NiCo sequence". It matches the Rfam family "NiCo (Nickel/Cobalt) riboswitch aptamer". The record is from RNAcentral. Lineage: Bacteria; Bacillati; Bacillota; Clostridia; Eubacteriales; Clostridiaceae.